UACGAAGGGGGCUAGCGUUGCUCGGAAUCACUGGGCGUAAAGCGCACGUAGGCGGCUUCUCAAGUCAGGGGUGAAAUCCUGGAGCUCAACUCCAGAACUGCCUUUGAUACUGAGGGGCUCGAGUCCGGGAGAGGUGAGUGGAACUGCGAGUGUAGAGGUGAAAUUCGUAGAUAUUCGCAAGAACACCAGUGGCGAAGGCGGCUCACUGGCCCGGUACUGACGCUGAGGUGCGAAAGCUAGGGGAGCAAACGGG
This 253-nucleotide ribosomal RNA is filed under the name uncultured bacterium. RNAcentral describes it as "partial 16S ribosomal RNA". It matches the Rfam family "Bacterial small subunit ribosomal RNA", at positions 524 to 776 of the family's 1533-position model. The record is from RNAcentral.